This is a long non-coding RNA of Pocillopora damicornis (cauliflower coral), 632 nucleotides long. NCBI's taxonomy places the organism in Eukaryota, Metazoa, Cnidaria, Anthozoa, Scleractinia, Pocilloporidae. The record is from RefSeq and is a predicted model, not a curated record.
CCCACACCACUCCCCUACCCGUCGCUUUAUUCAAAGUUAGCACAGAUUUCUCUGAACGCGGCGUCUUCUUUCUGAAUGGCCUAGACUAGCUUUCGACCAAGUUUCUUAGCAGCCACAUUGAAAAUGGCGGACGAGCUGCCGUUAAUUUAAAACUGAAUCGAUGUCGCACUGAAGAGUCGGUUUGUUUCGACAAUUGUGGUACAUUUGAUGACGGAUGAUGAUGACCUGUUCUAAAAACUCGUCUGAUCUUCACUUUGUACAUCGGUUGUGUUAACUCACGCCUUUCUACCAUGAUGAAAUUCUAAUGUUUACCAGGAACCUCUCGACAGAUUUCACAAGCUACUGAGGUUCUACAGACAAAUUACAGAGUGCAGUAAAUAAGUACCAUUGGAAUCACUCACUAAAUCUGGAAAGUCAGUUGAUUAACACUGUGAGCUUGAAGAACCACAACAGACAGAAUUGCCCUUAUGAUACUUCCACAGAAGAUGAAAAACUGUUGGAUUCCCUCUGGGACGUGUGUAAAUCAGCUCAAGACAUGUUGCAGAAACGGGAAGAGCAAGAAAUGACCAUUAAGAAAUGUAGGAACAAAGUGGACUGUAUGACUGAUGAAAUGAAAAUGUUUCAAAGAAUUA